This 392-nucleotide RNase P RNA is filed under the name Eubacteriales Family XIII. Incertae Sedis bacterium. RNAcentral describes it as "RNase P RNA component class A". It matches the Rfam family "Bacterial RNase P class A". From Rfam's summary of the family: Ribonuclease P (RNase P) is a ubiquitous endoribonuclease, found in archaea, bacteria and eukarya as well as chloroplasts and mitochondria. Lineage: Bacteria; Bacillati; Bacillota; Clostridia; Peptostreptococcales; Anaerovoracaceae. The record is from RNAcentral.
UGAGCAAGCCAGGCAGCCGCGUGCGAUCACUCGCACGAGGAAAGUCCGGGCUCCAUAGGGCAAGGGCGCCGGAUAACGUCCGGUGAAGGCGACUUCAAGGAAAGUGCAACAGAAACACACCGCCGAAACGGGCGCGCGCAGCGCGUGCCGUGGCAAGGUUGAAAUGGUGAGGCAAGGGCUCACCGGCGGCAUGGCAACAUGCCGGCCGUGCAAACCCCGCCCGGAGCAAGGCCAAGUAGGGCAUUUUCGCGCCGGCGGCAUCGCCGCCCGGCGCGAUACCAAGCGGCUGCCCGUCGCUGCCCGGUAUGGUAGGCCGCACGAGCCUGUUGGCGACAGCAGGCCUAGAUAGAUGGCUGCUUAGUACAGAACCCGGCUUAUGGCUUGCUCAUAUU